Hippopotamus amphibius kiboko is the source of this 123-nucleotide small nucleolar RNA. RefSeq annotates it as small nucleolar RNA SNORA51. The record is from RefSeq and is a predicted model, not a curated record. Lineage: Eukaryota; Metazoa; Chordata; Mammalia; Artiodactyla; Hippopotamidae. The transcript has a single exon.
GCCUUCCCAGUACUUAGCACAGGCUGUUUGCUUACAAUAACUGUACAGAAAGAGGAGGCCGAAUAAAUCUAUUCUAUAUACCAGGCCCUAUGCCUGGCCUGUAUUGUGAACAGAGGGACAUGG